CAUUAAGAAGCUAUAAAGGACCAGCGUUAGCCUUUUAAGCUAACGACAGAUGAUUGCCGCCCAUCCUUAAUGA
This 73-nucleotide transfer RNA is filed under the name Rhinatrema bivittatum (two-lined caecilian). RNAcentral describes it as "tRNA-Lys". The record is from RNAcentral. Lineage: Eukaryota; Metazoa; Chordata; Amphibia; Gymnophiona; Rhinatrematidae.